GAUGAAGAACGGAGCGAAAUGCGAUACUUGGUGUGAAUUGCAGAAUCCCGUGAACCAUCGAGUCUUUGAACGCAAGUUGCGCCCGAAGCCAUUAGGCCGAGGGCACGCCUGCCUGGGCGUCACACGUCGUUGCCCCCCCAUCUACUCCUUCGGGAUUGCGGGGGGCGGAUGAUGGCCUCCCGUGCGCCUCGUCGCGCGGUUGGCAUAAAUGCCAAGUCCUCGGCGACGCACGCCACGACAAUCGGUGGUUGCGAAACCUCGGUUGCCAGUCGUGUGCGGUCGUCGCGCAUCGAGGGCUCGAAAAAAUUGCCGGGCUCCGGCUCGGCUUUCAACGCGACCCCAGGUCAGGCGGGGUUACCCGCUGAAUUUAAGCAUAUCAAUAAGCGGAGGA
Molecule: unclassified non-coding RNA, 391 nt
Filed under: soil metagenome
Description: partial contains 5.8S ribosomal RNA, internal transcribed spacer 2, and large subunit ribosomal RNA
Rfam family: 5.8S ribosomal RNA (bases 1-122)
Source: RNAcentral